AUGGCAGAGAUCAGGGAGGAGACCGCGAGGGCCGGGGAGGGUGAGAGGCUGAAGAUGCUGCACGAGGAGGCGGCUCACCCGAGGAGCAACUCCGGCAUGGACCCGGGGGACCCGAGGAGGAAGGCAAUCGAAGCGGAGGAGAUGAGAGACAGGACGGCGGUGGAAGCAGGCGAGGAGGACUACGAGGCCGACAUGGCUGCCAAGUUCCGCCAUCGCUGGGAGGAGCGAUGGUCCGGCUAUUUCGGCUCCUUUGAGGACACCACACUUAUUCCACCGAUGCGCUUCACGGAUGAACCACCUGGGCCACGAGACUUCGCGUGCUCCUACAUGCAUACUCUCAACGUCUUCUCGGUCAAACUUGCUGGACUACAUAGGGAUUUGGCAUGGCCACUCCAUGUGUUCAGCAUCGUCGCCGCACGCGACACUCUGGAUCACAAUCGCAAUAUCAUCUUGCAUCGCACCAGGGAUAACCGCCAAAUCAUCCAUCAGGAGGAUCCCUACCUAGAAUUGACAGGUCCUAUCCGUGGUAUCGUGGUGAUUGAUCCUGUGAAAUUUGAGGUUGUGCUGAAAGUGAAGGGCUCCACUGAAUCCGAGGACAAAGAUUUAAGCUUUCUGGUUGUGCGGUACUUUAGUAACGGCGGUGAAAGUCGGUCACUUGUGAUCAACAAAAUCAGGACUAACAAGCUUAGCACACUAGAGUUGACAUUCGGCCACAUUGUUCGCUCUGUGGAGGCCGCGAUUAGUGUGAGAGUGAUUGGCGGUUCAUGGCCAGAUGGGUUUCGAGGUGUAUUUACAGCUACCACUGGCAGCAUAAAUCACAUGAAGUUCUCGUUGCUUUCUUCUAGAAACUGUAAGUUUCCUGUCAAGUCUGAUGGAAUGAUCUUGCUAUCACGAUGUGUUGUUUGUGUUGAACUCGAUGGAGAACUCAUGGUUUCCAUCAUGGCACAACAUGAAGACGAGGAGAAAGUUGUUGAUCAGAGUGAUGAUAACGUUUUUACACCUAAGAAAGCUGGUAGAAGCCAUAAUAUCCUCAAGAUUGGGUCGUGCAAGAUGGAAGUCACUGUGGCCUGCUCUGUUUUCUCGGAUCGUAUACUUGUUCGUGACGAAUGGGUUGGUGCUCGGCAUCUGUGA
RNAcentral lists this ribosomal RNA (1131 nucleotides) under Triticum aestivum (bread wheat). Its description in RNAcentral is "partial small subunit ribosomal RNA". The record is from RNAcentral. Lineage: Eukaryota; Viridiplantae; Streptophyta; Magnoliopsida; Poales; Poaceae.